CUCAGGUGAUCUGCCUGCCUUGGCCUCCUAAAGUCCUGGGAUUAUAGGUGUGAGCCACCAUGACUGGCCUCAGUAAUAUUUUGUGCUCUUUAUGGUGGAGCUGUGGUCCCAGCCUAACUUGCAGAACUUCAGCUGUCUCCAGGGCACACUGUCCAUCUGCUUCCUUCAGAAGGAGCAGAGACAGUGCCAUGGAUGUAGUGAUGGGUGACAGGCUGGCUCCCCUUGAGACAUGAGUCUAGAAGAUUAGUGGAAGAAAUCCACUCUGCUUCCUUUGACAUGAGGCUACAAAGAGAACUUGCCUUUAACUCCUUUUCCUUAGAAGCUGAGAAGGUAGUUUGAGGUUGGGACUUGGUCUAGAAGCACAUGGGGAGGUGGUCUAGGCUUGGUCUAGGAGGACACGGGGAGGUGGUCUAGGCUUGGUCUAGGAGCACACGGGGAGGUGGUCUAGGCUUGGUCUAGGAGCACACGGGUAGGUGGUCUAGGAGCACACAGGGAGGUAGUCUAGGCUUGGUCUAGGAGGACACGGGGAGGUGGUCUAGGCUUGGUCUAGGAGCACACGGGGAGGUGGUCUAGGCUUGGUCUAGGAGCACACGGGGAGGUGGUCUAGGCUUCACAUAGCUGGGCCCACACUGAGUGGUGCUGACUCUACCCUGUUCUUUCUCCUUCAAAAAACAGUGGCCAGUGAGCCAGAAACCUGAGAUUGAGUUGUUGAGGAAAAGGCUCACAGCCUUUUUAAUACUUACAAGGUUAUUAUUACAACUAAGUUUUUGUUUACUCUGGUAUUUCUCUCCAGGAAAGAAGCCAUAAGUCUUAUCUGACCAAAGAGAUGAUUUUGAAACACCCAUUUAAUGUCUUAGCGUUUAUUUGUACCAGUUGCACUGAAGUAAAUACCACUAAUUUAUGUAAAUUUAUCUUUCCAUGCUUCUGUUAUCUCUCAGGAAAAAACAUCCUCCCAGGCCAGAUUUAAUGUUGUUACAGCAUUUUUAGGUUUGAAAAUGAAUUAAAUAUAUUUCUAGUAUUUUUAGUUAUUCAUUGCAGAUUAUAGUUGGACUUUUGGCCUUUGUCCGAGGACAAAGCCUGGAGAGAAGAGAUUCAAUGACCCUGAAUAUUAUUGUUUUAUUUUUAGAGCUCUUGAUAUGAAACUAUUGUUUAUCCCUUUGGGUACAUGAAAAAAAAAAAAAAACA
Long non-coding RNA from Sapajus apella (tufted capuchin), 1185 nucleotides. RefSeq lists it as uncharacterized. The record is from RefSeq and is a predicted model, not a curated record. The transcript is spliced from 3 exons. Lineage: Eukaryota; Metazoa; Chordata; Mammalia; Primates; Cebidae.